UACGUAGGGGCCUAGCGUUGUCCGGAUUUAUUGGGCGUAAAGAGCUCGUAGGCGGUUUGGUAAGUCGGGUGUGAAAUCUCCACGCUCAACGUGGAGGGGCCACCCGAUACUGCCAUGACUGGAGUCCGGUAGGGGAGUGUGGAAUUCCCGGUGUAGCGGUGAAAUGCGCAGAUAUCAGGAGGAACACCGGUGGCGAAGGCGGGUCUCUGGGCCGAUACUGACGCUGAGGAGCGAAAGCGUGGGGAGCGAACAGG
Molecule: ribosomal RNA, 254 nt
Filed under: uncultured bacterium
Lineage: Bacteria
Description: partial 16S ribosomal RNA
Rfam family: Bacterial small subunit ribosomal RNA
Source: RNAcentral